This 376-nucleotide unclassified non-coding RNA is filed under the name uncultured Pseudomonadota bacterium. RNAcentral describes it as "uncultured proteobacterium contains 16S-23S intergenic spacer region". Lineage: Bacteria; Pseudomonadati; Pseudomonadota. The record is from RNAcentral.
UCCGGUUUGUCACCGGCAGUCCCAUUAGAGUGCUCAACUGAAUGUAGCAACUAAUGGCAAGGGUUGCGCUCGUUGCGGGACUUAACCCAACAUCUCAUGACACGAGCUGACGACAGCCAUGCAGCACCUGUGCACUGUCCAGCCGAACUGAAAGUCCUAUCUCUGGGACCGACGACAGGCAUGUCAAGGCCUGGUAAGGUUUUUCGCGUUGCGUCGAAUUAAACCACAUGCUCCACCGCUUGUGCGGGCCCCCGUCAAUUCCUUUGAGUUUCAACCUUGCGGCCGUACUCCCCAGGCGGUGCACUUCUCGCGUUAGCUACGCCACCGAGAUCUAUGAUCCCGACGGCAAGUGCACAUCGUUUACGGCGUGGACUAC